This 250-nucleotide ribosomal RNA is filed under the name uncultured bacterium. RNAcentral describes it as "partial 16S ribosomal RNA". It matches the Rfam family "Bacterial small subunit ribosomal RNA", at positions 524 to 773 of the family's 1533-position model. The record is from RNAcentral.
UACGAAGGGUGCAAGCGUUACUCGGAAUUACUGGGCGUAAAGCGUGCGUAGGUGGUGGUUUAAGUCUGUUGUGAAAGCCCUGGGCUCAACCUGGGAAUUGCAGUGGAUACUGGGUCACUAGAGUGUGGUAGAGGGUAGCGGAAUUCCCGGUGUAGCAGUGAAAUGCGUAGAGAUCGGGAGGAACAUCCGUGGCGAAGGCGGCUACCUGGACCAACACUGACACUGAGGCACGAAAGCGUGGGGAGCAAAC